Molecule: ribosomal RNA, 621 nt
Filed under: Triticum aestivum (bread wheat)
Lineage: Eukaryota; Viridiplantae; Streptophyta; Magnoliopsida; Poales; Poaceae
Description: partial small subunit ribosomal RNA
Source: RNAcentral
AUGUUGGCUAAAUUUGACCCGGUUAUUGAGGAGCAUGUUGGUCAUAUUACAAAUGAAGAAACUCAUGCGCAUUAUCUUGAUCAUAAGAUUCAAAAUGAGUUGAUACAUUUGCUUGCUUCUGCUAUUAAGUCUGAGAUUGUUAAGAAAAUACAGAGUGCAAAGUAUUUCUCCAUCAUACAUGAUUGUUCCCCUGAUGUAAGCUAUCAAGAACAAAUGUCUAUAAUCGUAAGAUAUGUGAACUCAUCUUCAAGUCAUGUUUGCAUAGAAGAAUCAUUUUUAGGAUUUUUAGAUGUAAAUGAUACGACUGGGCAAGGACUGGUUGAAGUGCUAGUGAAUGAACUAAAGCUUCUUGAUCUUGAUAUAGAUCAUGUGGGAGAACAAGGUUAUGAUAACGGGUAAAAUAUGAAAGGAACACAUCAUGGAGUCCAAAGGAGGCUUCUGAAUGUAAAUCCUGGAGCUUCCUAUUCUACUUGUGGUUGUCAUGGCCUUAAUUUGACACUUUGUGAUAUGGCCAAGACUUGUGGUAAAGCUAAAGUCUUCUUUGGAAUUAUCCAACACUUAUGUACAUAUUUUGCUAAUUCUACUAAGAAGUGGUAUAUUCUAAAGGAGAACAUCACAUGA